GCGGCGGGGCUCGGCGCCUUGGGGCUCUUCGGGGACGCGGCGGGUGUCGCCACGGGCGGGAGCGUCGGGGCGACGCUCGGGACCGGCGUGGGCGCGGCGGCCGGUGGCGGCGGGGUGGCGGGGGGAGGGGGCGUGGCGGGAGGCGGCGCCAUGGGCGGAGACGGCGGCGGGGUGGCGGGAGCGGGUGGCGGGCUCGCCGGGGGAGACGGCGGCGGGGUGGUGGGAGCGGGUGGCGGGCUUGCGGGCGGUGACGGAGGCGGCGUGGUGGGCGCUGGAGGAGGAGUGGUCGGCGGGGCCGGGGGCGGCGUCGUGGGAGCCGGGGGAGGAGUGGUCGGUGGUGCCGGGGGCGGCGUGGACGUCGGAGCCGGAGGAGGAGUGGCGGUGGGCGCGGGAGGCGGGUUGCCUGCCGGAGGCGCCUGGGGCGCCGGCGGCGGGUUGCCGGCUGGAGGCGCCUGGGGUGGGGAGUUGGACGGUGGCGCGUUCGGCGUCGGCGGGGGCUGCGCCGGCGGUGACUGCUGCGCUGCGCAGGAGGCGAUCAGGAGCGCGAGCACGAGAGGGCGGAGAAGAGGCGCCAUUUUCGUUCCGUGGGUUCCUUGAGCUGAGCGAGCUCGAGCAGU
RNAcentral lists this long non-coding RNA (617 nucleotides) under Sorghum bicolor (sorghum). RNAcentral's name for it is "long non-coding RNA (SBIC_LNC007437)". The record is from RNAcentral. Lineage: Eukaryota; Viridiplantae; Streptophyta; Magnoliopsida; Poales; Poaceae.